Molecule: non-coding RNA, 27 nt
Filed under: Homo sapiens (human)
Lineage: Eukaryota; Metazoa; Chordata; Mammalia; Primates; Hominidae
Source: RNAcentral
AAGAAGAGAGACUACUGUAUGGAGCCA